AUCCUUAUUCUUUGUUAAUCUUCAAAUGAAAUAAAAGUAAUUCUGUUCUUAUCAGCUUAAUAUCUGAUAUGUCGGGCAAUGCCCGACUCUUAUAUUAAACUGAUUUUGGAUAUCGGCCAUGGGAUUGGAGCUUGCUUCGCCCUGGCCACGGGUUGUCUCGGUAUUGCACUACCUCCGAGUUCGGCCCAUUUCCC
Xenia sp. Carnegie-2017 is the source of this 194-nucleotide small nuclear RNA. RefSeq annotates it as U2 spliceosomal RNA. The record is from RefSeq and is a predicted model, not a curated record. Lineage: Eukaryota; Metazoa; Cnidaria; Anthozoa; Malacalcyonacea; Xeniidae. The transcript has a single exon.